UCUAUAACUCGAGAUAUGGGCUGAACACUGAAUAGUGUCUGGGCUACAGGACAGAUUUCGACUUCUCCGUUGUUGCUAUCAUUUGAACUCGAAAAUGACACUUUUAAAUCUUGAACUCUCAUUAAAGUUUUAGGCCUAUGUGUUAGCUUUCCAUA
Populus trichocarpa (black cottonwood) is the source of this 155-nucleotide non-coding RNA. The record is from Rfam. NCBI's taxonomy places the organism in Eukaryota, Viridiplantae, Streptophyta, Magnoliopsida, Malpighiales, Salicaceae.